This 279-nucleotide ribosomal RNA is filed under the name uncultured methanogenic archaeon. Its description in RNAcentral is "partial 16S rRNA". It matches the Rfam family "Archaeal small subunit ribosomal RNA", at positions 1047 to 1325 of the family's 1478-position model. Lineage: Archaea; Methanobacteriati; Methanobacteriota. The record is from RNAcentral.
GAGACCCACGCCCACAGUUGCCAGCGUACUCUCCGGAGUGACGGGUACACUGUGGGGACCGCCGCUGCUAAAGCGGAGGAAGGAAUGGGCAACGGUAGGUCAGUAUGCCCCGAAUAUCCCGGGCUACACGCGAGCUACAAUGGUUGGUACAAUGGGUAUCUACCCCGAAAGGGGACGGAAAUCUCCUAAAACCAAUCUUAGUUCGGAUUGAGGGCUGCAACUCGCCCUCAUGAAGCUGGAAUCCGUAGUAAUCGCGUUUCAACAGAACGCGGUGAAUAC